This 254-nucleotide ribosomal RNA is filed under the name uncultured bacterium. RNAcentral's name for it is "partial 16S ribosomal RNA". It matches the Rfam family "Bacterial small subunit ribosomal RNA", at positions 524 to 776 of the family's 1533-position model. The record is from RNAcentral.
UACGAAGGGGCUAGGCGUUGCUCGGAAUCACUGGGCGUAAAGGGCGCGUAGGCGGCGUUUUUAAGUCGGGGGUGAAAGCCUGUGGCUCAACCACAGAAUGGCCUUUGAUACUGAGGAUCUUGAGUUCGGGAGAGGUGAGUGGAACUGCGAGUGUAGAGGUGAAAUUCGUAGAUAUUCGCAAGAACACCAGUGGCGAAGGCGGCUCACUGGCCCGAUACUGACGCUGAGGCACGAAAGCGUGGGGAGCAAACAGG